Molecule: small nucleolar RNA, 96 nt
Organism: Aspergillus versicolor CBS 583.65
Lineage: Eukaryota; Fungi; Ascomycota; Eurotiomycetes; Eurotiales; Aspergillaceae
Rfam family: Small nucleolar RNA snR73
Source: Rfam
UACAAUGAUGAUUUACUUUAAUUUUAUCACGACGGUCAACAUAUGUCUACCUUGAUGACCACUGCCUGUGACAGGGCAAUAUAUCUGAAACUGUUC